RNAcentral lists this ribosomal RNA (460 nucleotides) under uncultured bacterium. Its description in RNAcentral is "bacterial SSU rRNA". It matches the Rfam family "Bacterial small subunit ribosomal RNA", at positions 28 to 495 of the family's 1533-position model. The record is from RNAcentral.
GAUGAACGCUGGCGGCGUGCUUAACACAUGCAAGUCGAACGAAGACAUCUGAGUGCUUGCACUUGGAUGGACUGAGUGGCGGACGGGUGAGUAACGCGUGGGUAACCUGCCUUAUACAGGGGGAUAACAGUUGGAAACGACUGCUAAUACCGCAUAAGCGCACGGUAUCGCAUGAUACAGUGUGAAAAACUCCGGUGGUGUGAGAUGGACCCGCGUCUGAUUAGCUAGUUGGCAGGGCAACGGCCUACCAAGGCGACGAUCAGUAGCCGACCUGAGAGGGUGACCGGCACAUUGGGACUGAGACACGGGCCCAAAACUCCUACGGGAGGCAGCAGUGGGGAAUAUUGGCACAAUGGGGGAAACCCUGAUGCAGCGACGCCGCGUGAGCGAAGAAGUAUUCGGUAUGUAAAGCUCUAUCAGCAGGGAAGAAGAAAUGACGGUACCUGACUAAGAAGCAACC